RNAcentral lists this transfer RNA (69 nucleotides) under Ictidomys tridecemlineatus (thirteen-lined ground squirrel). RNAcentral describes it as "Spermophilus tridecemlineatus (thirteen-lined ground squirrel) tRNA". It matches the Rfam family "tRNA". From Rfam's summary of the family: Transfer RNA (tRNA) molecules are approximately 80 nucleotides in length. Their secondary structure includes four short double-helical elements and three loops (D, anti-codon, and T loops). Lineage: Eukaryota; Metazoa; Chordata; Mammalia; Rodentia; Sciuridae. The record is from Rfam by way of RNAcentral.
GGGGCUGUGGCUCAAAGGUAGAGCGCUUGCCUACCAUGCGUGAGGCACUGGGUUCGAUCCUCAGCACCA